Molecule: ribosomal RNA, 1094 nt
Filed under: Streptomyces viridosporus
Lineage: Bacteria; Bacillati; Actinomycetota; Actinomycetes; Kitasatosporales; Streptomycetaceae
Description: bacterial SSU rRNA
Rfam family: Bacterial small subunit ribosomal RNA
Source: RNAcentral
CCAAGGCGACGACGGGGGGCCGGCCUGAGAGGGCGACCGGCCACACUGGGACUGAGACACGCCCAGACUCCUACGGGAGGCAGCAGUGGGGAAUAUUGCACAAUGGGCGAAAGCCUGAUGCAGCGACGCCGCGUGAGGGAUGACGGCCUUCGGGUUGUAAACCUCUUUCAGCAGGGAAGAAGCGCAAGUGACGGUACCUGCAGAAGAAGCGCCGGCUAACUACGUGCCAGCAGCCGCGGUAAUACGUAGGGCGCGAGCGUUGUCCGGAAUUAUUGGGCGUAAAGAGCUCGUAGGCGGCCUGUCGCGUCGGUUGUGAAAGCCCGGGGCUCAACCCCGGGUCUGCAGUCGAUACGGGCAGGCUAGAGUUCGGUAGGGGAGAUCGGAAUUCCUGGUGUAGCGGUGAAAUGCGCAGAUAUCAGGAGGAACACCGGUGGCGAAGGCGGAUCUCUGGGCCGACACUGACGCUGAGGAGCGAAAGCGUGGGGAGCGAACAGGAUUAGAUACCCUGGUAGUCCACGCCGUAAACGGUGGGCACUAGGUGUGGGCGACAUUCCACGUCGUCCGUGCCGCAGCUAACGCAUUAAGUGCCCCGCCUGGGGAGUACGGCCGCAAGGCUAAAACUCAAAGGAAUUGACGGGGGCCCGCACAAGCGGCGGAGCAUGUGGCUUAAUUCGACGCAACGCGAAGAACCUUACCAAGGCUUGACAUACACCGGAAAACCGUGGAGACACGGUCCCCCUUGUGGCCGGUGUACAGGUGGUGCAUGGCUGUCGUCAGCUCGUGUCGUGAGAUGUUGGGUUAAGUCCCGCAACGAGCGCAACCCUUGUCCCGUGUUGCCAGCAGGCCCCUUCGGGGGUGCUGGGGACUCACGGGAGACCGCCGGGGUCAACUCGGAGGAAGGUGGGGACGACGUCAAGUCAUCAUGCCCCUUAUGUCUUGGGCUGCACACGUGCUACAAUGGCCGGUACAAUGAGCUGCGAUACCGCGAGGUGGAGCGAAUCUCAAAAAGCCGGUCUCAGUUCGGAUUGGGGUCUGCAACUCGACCCCAUGAAAUCGGAGUCGCUAGUUCUUCGCAAAUCAAGCUGGCUGCUGUG